GACGAACGCUGGCGGCGUGCUUAACACAUGCAAGUCGAACGGAAAGGCCUGCUUUCCCUUGUGGAUUGCGGGUACUCGAGUGGCGAACGGGUGAGUAACACGUGAGUGAUCUGCCCCCAACUUGGGUAUAAGCCUGGGAAACUGGGUCUAAUUCCCGAUAGGACUGCAGGGUGGUGCCUGUGGUGGAAAACGAUUUUCUAGUGGUUGGGGAUGAGCUCGCGGCCUAUCAGCUUGUUGGUGGGGUAAUGGCCUACCAAGGCGGCGACGGGUAGCCGGCCUGAGAGGGUGGACGGCAACAUUGGGACCGAGAUACGGCCCAGACUCCUACGGGAGGCAGCAGUGGGGAAUAUUGCACAAUGGGCGGAAGCCUGAUGCAGCGACGCCGCGUGGGGGAUGACGGCCUUCGGGUUGUAAACUCCUUUCGACCGCGAGGAAGCCACCUGGUUGGAAGGGUGGUGACGGUAGUGGUAGAAGAAGCACCGGCUAACUACGUG
Molecule: ribosomal RNA, 494 nt
Filed under: uncultured bacterium
Lineage: Bacteria
Description: partial 16S ribosomal RNA
Rfam family: Bacterial small subunit ribosomal RNA
Source: RNAcentral